GAGUGGGAGUAAACGUGAAGGAGAAAGGGGGAACGAGAAGGGAGCGAGAGGGGAGAAAAAGUGCCUUGUGUCAGACACCUUGCCGUUCUGACUGCGCAGCAUCUCGCUUGUUUCUCGUACGCCUUCGUCGAAGCUCCCUACGCAGCGUCGCUCAUCUCGUUUUCUCGUAUACGAGCGUGACGUCAUGCUGCAAGUUGCACGGGAGUAACCGAGCGAGGAAAGGGGAUAAGAGGGGAGCAGUUACGUGGGGAUAUAGAACGAGCGAACGUGCGCGCGCGCAUCAGAAAGCCGCAGCGUCGAUGGAUUUGCUGUUACCUGCAUGGAGUGGACUGCAUGCAGAAUACACGCGAGGUGACAUCGUCGUAUGUGUCGUUGGUUAGCUGAUUUUCCCUCUUCCCUUCGUUCACCUACCUAACCUCUCGACAGAACAUAACCGGUUCCGCGCCGCGUGCAAACUCCUUCCAUCCUCCUACCCCUCGACUGUCUCCUUCCUUCCCGUAGUUUCUUUUCUUUUCAUACAAACCUAUCUCUCUUCCGAACCGUUCCGACCUCCCCCAUUCGUUCUUUCUCACUUUUCUUUCUCGCAUUUCAUUCUCGCUUCCUCUUUUUUCAAGUACUAUACUCGAACCACGGAACGGAUCGAGUUAAUCGCUGGCUGCUCGUCUACUGCUAUUCGACAGCGUUGCAUUUUAUAUGCUUUUCUCUCGUUCUCUUUCGUCACUGAUGUACAACAUACAUUUAAACAUUAACACAGAGAGCGAUUCCGCGGUCAUCCAGCGGGAUGUGCUACUUUAUGCCCUAUUGCAAAGACGAUGGCGGCGGGGCAAUGCCACGAAUCGUGGCCCGACGGAGACGAUGGUCUAUGCGCAUAUUGUACCGGACGGUUAAUGGCAUGAUGGCGUGACAUCGGUGCACAUUGCACACGCACACUGCGAGUAAGGCGAACAGAACGGAACGGGAUGGAACAGAACCGAGUGGAACAGAACGGAAUGGAACGAAACGAAACGAAAGACCGGAACGCGAUGUCGCGUGUCCUAUGUUGUAUUCGCGUGUGUCGCAAAUAUUACACGCGAUCCUUCAACUAAAUGCUUUAGUGCACGAAUGUAUUCGUACAUCGUUUUGCUUCUUCGUUUUCUUUCUAAAGUUUAACUCUUUAACUCUCACAAUCGCUGUGAUUAUUACUUUAUGCUAUAUUAUACGCGAGAUUAGACGAGUUUAUUAAAGGCUAUAAAAAGGCUAUAAAUCUCGGAAAAAAAAUGUAUAACGAUUAUUUUUUUGAUGUAUUGCAUUUUAUCUUAUAUAUAUUGAUUAAUGUAAGUAUUUAUGUACGAAGGAAAAGCCAUGGUCAGUAUGAAAAAUGAAUAUUUUUAACUUCCAUAUAAUACAUAUUGUGCAGAUAUAAUCUAAAAAAUAAAACAUAUUUAACAGCUACUGAAUGAAAUGGAUGUAUGCGUAUUCUUUUAUCAGAAACUCAUGAAAAAAUAUUUUACAAUGAGACGAUCAUACUUUUUGCAAAAAGAAAUAAACUAG
This is a long non-coding RNA of Apis florea (little honeybee), 1530 nucleotides long. The record is from RefSeq and is a predicted model, not a curated record. NCBI's taxonomy places the organism in Eukaryota, Metazoa, Arthropoda, Insecta, Hymenoptera, Apidae.